UGUAAUAUAGGGUCGAAAUUUUACAUAAUAACUCGUAUUUCGAAUUGCUGUAUAUUAAAAACAGGUUGAUUACGAGAAACCCAAUAACCCGUAUUAAAUAAAAAUUCUGUGUUUUCUUCGUCAUUUGGGUUUUCCAUUGUUUUAAUGCAAAAAAAAAUCAGGAAAUGACUGUUUAAAUAUUAUGUUUGUUCGACUUUUUUUU
This 202-nucleotide non-coding RNA is filed under the name Dolichoris vasculosae. The record is from RNAcentral. Lineage: Eukaryota; Metazoa; Arthropoda; Insecta; Hymenoptera; Agaonidae.